This is a long non-coding RNA of Telopea speciosissima, 217 nucleotides long. RefSeq lists it as uncharacterized. NCBI's taxonomy places the organism in Eukaryota, Viridiplantae, Streptophyta, Magnoliopsida, Proteales, Proteaceae. The record is from RefSeq and is a predicted model, not a curated record. The transcript has 3 exons.
GCGAUUUCUGUUGAAGGCACUGGAAAAACCAUUCAAACAGACUACAUCUUAAAGAUUCUUGGUCUUGAUAUUUGUGCUGAUUCAAUGGUUGGAGAUGCCAUGAGAAGAGGUAUUUCAGGUGGUCAAAAGAAGAGACUGACUACAGGGGAAAUGAUUGUGGGUCCAAUAAAAGCUCUUUUUAUGGAUGAAAUAUCAAAUGGCCUGGACAGUUCUACAA